Long non-coding RNA from Passer domesticus (house sparrow), 524 nucleotides. RefSeq lists it as uncharacterized. The transcript is spliced from 2 exons. Lineage: Eukaryota; Metazoa; Chordata; Aves; Passeriformes; Passeridae. The record is from RefSeq and is a predicted model, not a curated record.
GGGACACCCGGACCGCGAACCCCGAGGGGCAGACGCGGGUCAGGGACAUCAUUCCUUCCAUUGCCAGCCCGGGACUGCCCUCGCACCUGCUGGCCCCAAACCCGCUUCCCCAGCCUCCUUCUUCCAGAGGGGAAAUUGUGGCCAAGCCCGGAAUCCAGGCGCUUCCAAAAAGCUCCGUCAUACAUGGACACUCACCCAAGCAGACCGGCUGUGGUGGGAUGCAGCUGUCCUAAAGCAAUUAGGAUUCUCCUGGAUGCAAACAGGUCAGAGCCACACUCGGGAAGGCAAAGAAGAUGGCAAGCAGCUCCUCCAGGGCAAAUGGACAAGUAGGCAGCUAAUCAGAGGGGCAAGCAGGUCUCUUUCUGGUCCCUGACUUACCCAUUCUUUUCUUCGCUGCCUCCAUCUCUGCAGUAGUCAAAAACCUUUAUGGUGGAAUCUGUCCUCAUUUUAGGAAGGAAUUAAAUAGCAAGAGCUGGAUCUGCAAUGCUUCUGUCUACUUCCAGAGUGUACUUGUAGCUAACAGA